Molecule: long non-coding RNA, 866 nt
Organism: Prosopis cineraria
Lineage: Eukaryota; Viridiplantae; Streptophyta; Magnoliopsida; Fabales; Fabaceae
Exons: 4
Source: RefSeq, a predicted model, not a curated record
UUGUUUUAGUUAUAUAAUAAAUAGGAAGUAAUGGUUUAGUGGAAGCUAUGCCAUAUGUUACUUGGAGACAGGGGGUUUGAAUCUUACCUAUAUUGGAGGAAAUUUCAUUUUUGUUGACCUCGAAUGAAGUUACCAAAAUACCCCUAUCUCUUGUGCAAUUUUAAAAAAAUAUCUAUUGGAUUUUUCUCUAAUUUUCCCUAAUAAACUUCAUUUCUUUAAAUUCCUUCCCUUUGUCGGUCAAGAACAGAGCACGAGGGGAGAGAGUGAGAGAAAUCCUGAAUCUAGAAAUUUCAAGCUUCUCUAUCUUCUCCAUCGGUCUUCUCCGUCUUCUUUGCCUAUUCCCAUCUGUCGUCGGUGUUGAUGAGUCUAGAAGCUUCAUCCGCCGCUGCUAAGAGUUUGAGCUGUGAGUUCUCCCAGUUCUCCCUCCUCUGUUUUCGACACUGUGAAAGGAUGCAUGGAACGUUCUUCUCCCUCUUCCUUGUGCAGUGUCGCAGGUUCUUUCUCCUCCUUCUCUGCUCACGUCGUUGCUGGUUCAAGGAUGUUUGGAAGAGCAGACAUUUAAUUGAAGUUGAGAGGUGAACUUUUAAAUUUUGGGAAGUAAUUCAGAUACGUUAGCUGAUGUUGUGCCUUCCGCUAAUCCUUGAGGGGCUGUAAUAUUCAGUUGAGAUGAAAAGCUGAAAUCAAACUUCUUUAAAGUAAAUUUCUUAUGUCAGGUGCUCCACAGAAGCUAUAGUUAGGGUCCUCAUCCUUAUAAUUUAUACUGUGUUAUUUAAUGAUCGGAAGAGAAUUCCUUGCUGCUGCUACUGUUUUGUAAAAUAUUAAAUCUUUUGUUCAUAUGGUUUGUAUUGAGGAUGGCUUAAUUUAUU